GCCGUGCAAGUCGGCAUGGUCUGAUUUGUUGAUUGUCUUGUGAUUUUGUUUUGUGUAUAUAUUUUAUUUAUUGAAGAAUCAUUUAUGUUAUUGUAUUCUUGUGAUUUAAUUUUUUGUGCUAUAGUUUAUUUGUACCGUGAGGGGUUGAGAUAUGAAUGAGUUUUUAGAAGCUUAUUUUAUUUAUUGUACCUUGUGUAUCAGGGUUCAUUGAAUUUUAUUAUUUAUUUUUAUUUCCCGAUUUUAAAGGAGUUAAUGAUUUAUGUUAGUUACUGUUUUAUUAGUAUUAAUGAUAAGUUAUUGGUAGUGAAAUGUUAAUCGUCUUUAGUGGUUUCUGGUUUUUCAAGAAAUGAAUUUAAUUCAUGUUCCUUAUUUAAAUUUUACUUUACUGUAUUCUUUUUUAUUUGGUGUUAAAAUUAAGGGGGAUUAGCUCCUUAUUUUAUUUUUAUAAUUUUUUGUUUUAUCUAUUUUUGUGGAUUUUAUAGUGAUUUUCAAUUUGAUUAUGUUAAAAUUUUAUUUAUUUAUUUAUUUAUUUUUUAUUAUUUAAUUUGUUUAUUGAAAUGUUUCCUUUGUCUUUUGUUUGGGUAGUAAUUAUUGUGUAAUUAGUAAAUUUUUCUUUUGUGUUGUUUAUUUAUAUGUUAGAUUCUUUUGAGGAAUUCGGCAAAUAUUAUGUCCGCCUGUUUAACAAAAACAUCUUUUCUUGUUAGUUUUUGAAGUAUGACCUGCCCACUGACUUUAAUGUGUUGAAGGGCCGCGGUAUUUUGACCGUGCAAAGGUAGCAUAAUCAUUAGUUCUUUAAUUGUGAUCUGGUAUGAAUGGUUUGACGAGACGUGUGCUGUCUUAAAUUUAUUGAAUAAUUUGUUGAAUUUGGUCUUUAGGUUAAAAUUCUUAAAUGUUUUUAUGGGACGAGAAGACCCUAUAGAGUUUGACACUUGUUUUAUUCGUUAUCUUUGUUUGUUUCUUAUUUUGAGUGAGUUGAGUGUUUUGUUGGGGUGAUGGGAGGAAUUUAUAUAACUCCUCUUUAUUGAUUUAAUAUUUAUGUAUAUCUAUUUUGAUCCAUUUAUUUUGAUUAUAAGAUUAAAUUACCUUAGGGAUAACAGCGUUAUCUUCCCUGAGAGUUCUUAUUGGCGGGAAGGAUUGCGACCUCGAUGUUGGAUUAAGGUGAAUUUUCGGUGCAGGAGUUGAAAUUAUUAGGUCUGUUCGACCUUUAAAAUCUUACAUGAUCUGAGUUCAGACCGGCGUGAGCCAGGUUGGUUUCUAUCUAUAAUAUUUUUUUAUACCUUAGUACGAGAGGACCGGGUAUUUAGAAUAAUUUUAUUUAUUGUGAUUGUUAAUAAUUUAUUUACUAUUUUGGCAGAUAAGUGCAUUAGAUUUAGAAUCUAUG
This 1381-nucleotide ribosomal RNA is filed under the name Astalotermes sp. B TB-2017. RNAcentral's name for it is "16S ribosomal RNA". The stretch from base 896 to 1264 matches the Rfam family "Archaeal large subunit ribosomal RNA", at positions 2150 to 2716 of the family's 2987-position model. The record is from RNAcentral. Lineage: Eukaryota; Metazoa; Arthropoda; Insecta; Blattodea; Termitidae.